AUUGAACGCUGGCGGCAGGCCUAACACAUGCAAGUCGAACGGUAGCACAGAGAGCUUGCUCUCGGGUGACGAGUGGCGGACGGGUGAGUAACGUCUGGGAAACUGCCCGAUGGAGGGGGAUAACUACUGGAAGCGGUAGCUAAUACCGCAUAACGUCGCAAGACCAAAGUGGGGGACCAUCGGGCCUCACACCCUCGGAUGUGCCCAGAUGGGAUUAGCUAGUAGGUGGGGUAAUGGCUCACCUAGGCGACGAUCCCUAGCUGGUCUGAGAGGAUGACCAGCCACACUGGAACUGAGACACGGUCCAGACUCCUACGGGAGGCAGCAGUGGGGAAUAUUGCACAAUGGGCGCAAGCCUGAUGCAGCCAUGCCGCGUGUAUGAAGAAGGCCUUCGGGUUGUAAAGUACUUUCAGCGGGGAGGAAGGCGGUGAAGUUAAUAGCUUCACCGAUUGACGUUACCCGCAGAAGAAGCACCGGCUAACUCCGUGCCAGCCGCCGCCGUAA
Molecule: ribosomal RNA, 504 nt
Filed under: uncultured bacterium
Lineage: Bacteria
Description: partial 16S ribosomal RNA
Rfam family: Bacterial small subunit ribosomal RNA
Source: RNAcentral